AAGUUUUAUGGUCAAGCUACUAAGGGCGUGCGGUGGAUGCCUUGGCGCCAACAGGCGACGAAGGACGUGGCAAGCUGCGAUAAGCCUCGGGGAGCCGCAAGCAGGCUUUGAUCCGGGGAUCUCCGAAUGGGGCAACCCCUCCGAGCAAAACUCGGAGACGGCCCGCUGAAUCCAUAGGCGGGUACGAGCGAACCCGGGGAAGUGAACCAUCUCAGUACCCGGAGGAAAAGAAAUCAACCGAGAUUCCGAAAGUAGCGGCGAGCGAAAUCGGAACAGCCCAAACCGCGGUGCUUGCACCGCGGGGUUGCAGGACCGCAUCAGUAGAGUUACCAAUCCGACCGUUAGGUGAAUCGGCUGGAAAGCCGGGCCAGAGAGUGUGAUAGCCACGUAACCGAAAACGGUUCGGACUCGAAGCGGGAUCCUGAGUACCACGGGGCACGGGAAACCCUGUGGGAAUCUGGGGGGACCACCCUCCAAGGCUAAAUACUCGUUGGCGACCGAUAGUGAACUAGUACCGUGAGGGAAAGGUGAAAAGAACCCCUGCGAGGGGAGUGAAAUAGGACCUGAAACCGCAUGCCUACAAGCAGUCAGAGGGCUAUGCCCCGGCUUCGGCCGGGGAAGUGCCUGAUGGCGUGCCUCUUGCUUAAUGAGCCGGCUAGUUAUUCUCACAGGCAAGGUUAAGCGAAAGCGAGCCGUAGCGAAAGCGAGUCCGAAUAGGGCGUUGAGUCUGUGGGAAUAGACGCGAAGCGGGAUGAUCUACCCUUGGCCAGGCUGAAGGCCGCUUAACCGCGGCUGGAGGGCCGAACCGGUGUUGGUUGAAAACAGCUCGGAUGAGCUGAGGGUAGGGGUGAAAGGCUAACCAAAUUCCGUGAUAGCUCGUUCUCCCCGAAAUGCCUUUAGGGGCAGCCUCGUGUGGUCUGCCGCGGCGGUAGAGCGCUGGAUGGCUGAGGGACCAUUCCAGGUUACCGACUCCAACCAAACUCCGAAUGCCGCGGACAGCAGCACGGGAGUGAGACUACGAGGGAUAAGCUUCGUGGUCGAAAGGGAAACAGCCCAGACCGCCAGCUAAGGUCCCGGACUGCAGGCUAAGUGGGAAAGGAUGUGCAACCGCGAAGACAGCCAGGAGGUUUGCUUGGAAGCAGCAAUCCUUUAAAGAAAGCGUAACAGCUCACUGGUCAAGCGGUCGCGCACCGACAAUUCAACGGGGCUCAAGCCUGCGACCGAAGCUGCGGAAGGGCCGAGGCGUUGCGACGCUUCGGCCUUUGGUAGGGGAGCAUUCUGUGGAGUCCGAAGGCGGACCGAGAGGACCGCUCGACGCCACGGAAGAGACCCUGCCGGCAUAAGUAGCGAUAAACGCGGUGAGAAUCCGCGUCGCCGAAAGUCUAAGGUUUCCUGAGGAAGGUUCGUCCGCUCAGGGUUAGGCGGGGCCUAAGGCGAGGCCGAAAGGCGUAGCUGAUGGACAGCCGGUCAAUAUUCCGGCCCCACCGGAGGGGCGUUUGCACGAUGGGGAGACGCAGAAGGAUAGGCGGGUCGUCCUAUGGCUAUGGCGAUCCGACGCCGGAAGCGGGGAGUGGCAGGAAAAUCCACCACUCCGUUACCCGUGAGGGCGUUGGCAGGGACGCAGGUCCCGAGGCCGCUGAGUCCACGCUGCCAGGAAAAUCCUCUAAGGAGUCCUUCCGGUGCCCGUACCUCAAACCGACACAGGUAGACGAGAUGAGUAUUCACAGGCGCGCGAGAGAACGCUCGCUCAGGAACUAGGCAAAUUGGCCCCGUAACUUCGGGAGAAGGGGCGCCCCGGUAGGGUUCACAGCCCGAGGGGGCCGCAGUGAAAGGCGCUCUGCGACUGUUUAACAAAAACACAGCUCUCUGCGAAGUCGAACACGACGUAUAGGGGGUGACGCCUGCCCGGUGCCGGAAGGUUAAAGGGAGGGCUUAGCUCGCGCAUGCGGGCGACGGCCCGAACUGAAGCCCCGGUGAACGGCGGCCGUAACUAUAACGGUCCUAAGGUAGCGAAAUUCCUUGUCGGGUAAGUUCCGACCUGCACGAAUGGCGUAACGACAGAGCGACUGUCUUGGCGAGCGGCUCGGCGAACUUGUGGUUCCGGUGAAGACGCCGGAUGCCCGCACCUAGACGGAAAGACCCCGUGCACCUUAACUGCACUCUGGUCAUGAAUAACGGAGCCGUCUGCGUAGGAUAGGUGGGAGCCUGCGAACUCCGACUUUCGGGUCGGAGGGAGGCGCCGGUGAAAUACCACCCUGACGGCUCUGUCGUUCUAACCUGCGGCCCGCGACGGGUCGGGGGACAUGGCCAGACGGGUAGUUUGACUGGGGCGGUCGCCUCCUAAACGGUAACGGAGGCGCCCAAAGCUCGGCUCAGGCGGAUUGGAAACCCGCUGUGGAGUGCAAGCGCAGAAGCCGGGUUGACUGCGAGACAGACAAGUCGAGCAGGAGCGAAAGCUGGGGCUAGUGAUCCGGUGGUCCCGCGUGGAAGGGCCAUCGCUCAACGGAUAAAAGGUACGCCGGGGAUAACAGGCUGAUCGGGCCCAAGAGUCCACAUCGACGGCCCGGUUUGGCACCUCGAUGUCGGCUCAUCGCAUCCUGGGGCUGUAGAAGGUCCCAAGGGUUAGGCUGUUCGCCUAUUAAAGCGGUACGUGAGCUGGGUUCAGAACGUCGCGAGACAGUUCGGUCCCUAUCUGGUGUGGGCGCAGGAGACUUGCGGGGAGCUGUCCCUAGUACGAAAGGACCGGGAUGGACGGACCUCUUGUGAUCGAGCUGUCGCGCCAGCGGCACGGCUCGGUAGCGAAGUCCGGAAGGGAUAACCGCUGAAAGCAUCUAAGCGGGAAGCCCGCCCCAAGAUAAGGUCUCCCAAGUCCGAUUCGUCGGACUAAGAAGGCCGGAGGAAGACUACCUCCUAGAUAGGCGGGAUGUGGAAGCGCAGCAAUGCGUGAAGCUUACCCGUACUAAUCGGCCGUUCGGCUUGACCAUAAAAC
This 2989-nucleotide ribosomal RNA is filed under the name Acidobacteriota bacterium. RNAcentral's name for it is "Acidobacteria bacterium (sediment metagenome) 23S ribosomal RNA". It matches the Rfam family "Bacterial large subunit ribosomal RNA". The record is from RNAcentral. Lineage: Bacteria; Pseudomonadati; Acidobacteriota.